This 253-nucleotide ribosomal RNA is filed under the name uncultured bacterium. RNAcentral describes it as "partial 16S ribosomal RNA". It matches the Rfam family "Bacterial small subunit ribosomal RNA", at positions 524 to 776 of the family's 1533-position model. The record is from RNAcentral.
UACGUAGGUGGCAAGCGUUAUCCGGAUUUAUUGGGCGUAAAGAGCGCGCAGGUGGUUAAUUAAGUCUGAUGUGAAAGCCUUCGGCUUAACCGGAGUAGUGCAUUGGAAACUGGGAGACUUGAGUGCAGAAGAGGAGAGUGGAACUCCAUGUGUAGCGGUGAAAUGCGUAGAUAUCGCGCAGAACUCCGAUUGCGAAGGCAGCAUGCCGGCUCCACACUGACGCUGAGGCACGAAAGCGUGGGUAUCGAACAGG